GGCGAUUUGGCUCAGUGGUAGAGUGCUUGCCUAGCAAGCACAAGGGCCUGGGUUCGGUUCCCAGCUCCG
Molecule: transfer RNA, 69 nt
Filed under: Rattus norvegicus (Norway rat)
Lineage: Eukaryota; Metazoa; Chordata; Mammalia; Rodentia; Muridae
Rfam family: tRNA
About the family: Transfer RNA (tRNA) molecules are approximately 80 nucleotides in length. Their secondary structure includes four short double-helical elements and three loops (D, anti-codon, and T loops). Further hydrogen bonds mediate the characteristic L-shaped molecular structure. tRNAs have two regions of fundamental functional importance: the anti-codon, which is responsible for specific mRNA codon recognition, and the 3' end, to which the tRNAs corresponding amino acid is attached (by aminoacyl-tRNA synthetases). tRNAs cope with the degeneracy of the genetic code in two manners: having more than one tRNA (with a specific anti-codon) for a particular amino acid; and 'wobble' base-pairing, i.e. permitting non-standard base-pairing at the 3rd anti-codon position.
Source: Rfam by way of RNAcentral